Molecule: long non-coding RNA, 144 nt
Organism: Sapajus apella (tufted capuchin)
Lineage: Eukaryota; Metazoa; Chordata; Mammalia; Primates; Cebidae
Exons: 2
Source: RefSeq, a predicted model, not a curated record
AAAUUAUACAGUAUAUAAAAUAGGUGACAGUGCCCUCUUGAGGAUGCUACUGAAAUUUGGCACCAGCUACCUAUUCAAGAAUGCUGCAGGUAAAAUUGACAUUCUUUCAUGUAUCAUAGAAUCACUGUGCUUCAUUUUUACAAU